This is a long non-coding RNA of Monodelphis domestica (gray short-tailed opossum), 6815 nucleotides long. RefSeq lists it as uncharacterized. Lineage: Eukaryota; Metazoa; Chordata; Mammalia; Didelphimorphia; Didelphidae. The record is from RefSeq and is a predicted model, not a curated record.
UGGAGAGAAGAAAAUGGAGCUACAAAAAUUCGUCCUGUCCUUGCCUGCCAACCUCCACCCCAACGGCACAAUCUCCCUGCCUCCAUCGGCACUAAGGCUCCUUUCCAUGCUGCCCCUAGCACGCACCCCCCUGCCCAGAGAUCCUGAAAAAUCGGACUAGGCCAAGACAGAGUGGGUACAGGCAAGGGGCGAUUAUAAAGGAAGGUUUGGGUUAUGAUGUCAAGAUCUGUGGCGCCCAGAAACCUGAGCAGCUGCUGGGGGCAGGGGAAACCUCAGCCCGGAGAGCUGCCAAAACUGCAUUUCCUGCCCCUCACCCCCACCCCCACCGCCCAGAAGCUGAAAUCCUGAGGCACUUUGGAGUUCUGGUGGCUGCGGGUGGGUUAAGCCGCCAGAUGUUUCCCAGCUGUUGGACCUGGGCCUCCAGCUGAGCCUGAAUGCGCAGACCCUGUAGCUUAUAUCUUUAUAUCGAUUGAAUCCUACUAGAUUUGAAAACACAAGGACUGCCUCUCAUUCACCUUGGUGUCCCCGACAUCUACAAACUGAAGAGAACAAUCCAUUUCAGUCCAUUUCUUUAGCAUGUGUACUGCCCUCAGAGCCACAUCAUCGGAUGGAUAUUCUUUUGCUUGGAAGCCUUUCUCCAACCGGAUGUAAUACUAUACAGAAAAUUCCACAAACCCCUUCUCUCUACUUUUACACCACUUAUAAGAUGCUGAAGACUCCACCGGGCUAGGCUACUCUCGGAGUGUAUCCUGCUGGCAGCUUAGCUCUACCAUGCAGAACAAAGUAAGUACAAUCCAGAACUGGCGUAAGCUUGAAGAUGCUUCGCAUGGCAGGUGAAUCUAAUUCCUGCAGAUGGUCUUCUCACUCUGUUCGAGCUUCAGUUCUGAACAUUUCAUAAAGGAAUCCUGGCAUUGCACUUGAGAAAAGCAGGUUGGAAGAGAGCGUCGUCUUUAUUUUACCUUCCGCCCCUCCCCACGAUGAGUCUGGGCAUGAAAUUUAGUGACCUGAAUUCAAAUGUGGAACAACAAUCCAAAACAUAAAAAUAGUCCCUUAGAUUUGGGUGUUAUCAAGAAGGUAACUAACUGGAGGAAUGCCAAGAAGUGAAGAAGCAACUCUCUUAACUUUAAAAAAGAUGAACAAGGCAAAAGAAAAUGCUAAACUUUACUUGAAAGGUACCAGAAGCCUGGGAAAAUUGACCAUGACUAGUGGCCCCCUAAAUAACAAAGGGAGAUUGUGUUGCUGGCAUAAACCCAUUUAGUUCCUCCUCACCUUUGACAUGGAAAGAGAAAAGAGAAGGAAUUCUCUUUCUUUUUUCUUUUUCUUUAAAAAAAAAAAACCCUUACCUUCUGUCUUAGAAUAGAUAGUAUCAAUUCCAAAGCAGAAGAGUGCUAAGGACUAGGCAAUUGGGUUUAAGUGACUUGCCCAGGGUCACUCAACUAGGACACAUCAGAGUCCAAAUUUGAACCCAAGACCUUCUAUCUCCAAACCUGGCUCUCCAUCCACUGAGCCACCUCGCUGCCCCAAGAAUUCUCUUUCAAAAGAGUAGAUAUUAACUCUCAGAUGCUCAGCCCUUUCCUCUAGGAGUCAAGGGAACGUGCUCCUAAGUAUGAUUAGAUGCAAUCUAGACUUUGGAUGGAUACUCCUGGUUCUAUGGACCAGAGUACUGGUCCUGCAACUGCUGCUGCCUCAGGAAAUUUCUGGUUGAAUCCUCCUAGAUUCUGUGUGUGUGCACACAUGUGGGCAUGUAUGUAUUGCAUGUAUAUAUGUGUAUCCAUACAUGUGUGUAACCACCUCCUGGUCUUGGUACUGUCCCUCCUCCUCUCUUUCUUCCUCUUCUUCAGCCUCUUUCUCCUUACCUGUAUCCCCAUCCCUUGUGAUCUCUCCCACAUGAGGAAGCACUUUGGGCCUCGGUGCUUCUUUCACCCUCUUUCUCACCUACUGUUUCCUGAUGGUCUCUUCAUCGUUCAUCGCUGAUAAAUGCUUUGCAAAGUGGUUGGGAGGCAUUAAGUCACUCCAUAGGCUUCUUCCCCACAGCUGCUGAGAGGUGCCCAGCCAAGAACGUCGGGCUGGCAUGCAGAGAAAACUGGUGAUGGCACUGAGAACAGUUUCAUUGAUGCAGCCUGAUGUGAUGACUUGUCAAUCUUUAAGAAGAUCCAUUGUUUUCAAAAGCUUUUCUGCAGAGUCGAUGGCAUUCAAUCCACUUGGGGGAUCUCUAAUUGGAUAUAUGGAUGAGCAAGAGAAAACCAUCAAGAGGUAGCAUUGAGUUUAUGAACAUUUUCUCUUCAGAUACUCCUCCAGUUAAAUGGAACUGAGAAAAAGAGGACUUCCUACAACUGAGGAAACCCUAUUGAUGGGGGCUGAAGUCAGUGGAGUGUAUAAUUGAAAAUCUGUGACUCUAAAAAAAGCUACAUUUCCCAGGAGCCCACUGACUUCCUGUCAUUACGUACUUCCUGUAGACAGGGGAUAAAUAUUGAGUGGGAGGUCCUGCCCCGUUCUUUUUGGCAUGAUGACAUCGAGCUUUGUGGCCAUGGUAAGCUAAGCAUGGGAAUUUUAAAAUGGCUGAUCAGCCUUGGACACAUGGUCUUUAUUUUGUAUCCUCUUUAUUCCUUGAUUUCUAAUGAUCAUUAAUAAAUCUUUAAAAUAUAAUAUUUCAUUAUUUGAGAUUAACUUUAAUUUUUACAGGAGGAAUGGUAAAAUGUAACAUACCUGGCCUUCAGGUGGUGGGAGUCAGAGUAGACACUAUAACAAAUGUAAUGAAGGCACCAGAAGAAAAAAGUGGAAAAGCAUUGAGAAUUGUGGAAGAAAGAGUUGGAAAGAGAAUUAAUAGCUUGGCACAAAAGAUACAAAGCCUUUGCCAAGCCACAGACUCCUUGAAAAUUAGAAUGGAUCAAGUAGAAGUUAAUGACUCCAAGAGACGACAUAUAGUAAAACAAAGUUAAAAUACUGAGAGAGAGAGAGAGAAAGAGAGAGAGCAAAAGUGAAAGAGCAAGAGUGAGAGAGUGAGGGAGAGAGCAAGAGCGAGAGAGUGAGGGGGAGAGAGAGAGAGAGAGAAAGAGUGAGAGAGAGAGAGAGAGAGACCUUGUAUCAAAAUAACUGACCUAGAAAACAGAUUGUGAAGAAAUAGUUCAAGAAGUUUUGGACUACCUGAAAACCAUGACCAAAAAAAUAAUAAUAAUAACCCAGAUAUCAUAUUUUAAGAAAUCAUAAUAGAAAACUGUCAGAUCUCUUGGAACCAGAAGGCAAAAUGAAAAUAGAAAGAAUUCGUUGGUAAGUUCCUGAGAGAAACCCCAAAUAAAAACUGCCAAGAACAUUCUAGUCAAGAUUCAGAGCUUCCAGAUCAAAGGGAAAAUAGUGCAAGCAGCCAGAAAGAAAUUAAAGUAUGGAAAAGCAAUAGUUAGAAUCACACAAGAUUGAGUAGCCAUCAUCAUAAGAGUGGAAGGAGCAACAAGGUAGCUCUACAGAUAGAGAGCCAGGCCUAGAGACUGAUGGUCCAGGAUUUAAAUUUGGCCUCAGACACUUUCUAGCUGUGUGACCCUGGGCAAGUCACUUAGCCCCAAAUGCCUAUCCCUUAGUGCCCUUCUUCUUUGUAUCAAUUCUAAGGCAGAAGGUAAGAGUUUUUUAAAAGAUGUAAAAACAAUGCAGGUAAAAUGAGAAGAAAAGCAGGAAAUUGGGAGUGGGGGGUGGUGUCUUUGCAGCAAAUUUGAGAAAGGUCUCAUUCUUAAACUAUAUAUAGAACUGAAUCAGAACAAAAGCUAUUCUUCAAAUGACAAAUGGUUAAACUAUAUGAAUAGGCAGUUUUCAGAGGAAGAAAUUAGAACUAUCAAUAGUUAUAUGAAAAUAUUAUUCUAAUUACUAAUAAUUAGAAAAAUUAAAAUUAAAACAAUUCUAAAGCACUACUUCAUACUUAUCAGAUUGGCUACGUUGACCAAAAAAAGAAAAGAAAAGAAAAUGACAAAUGAAGGAGAGGAUAUGGGAAAAUACAUACACUAAUGCACAGAAGAGUGGUAAGUGCUGGGCAACUAGGGGUAAAUGACUUACCAAAGAUCACACAGUUAGGAAGUAUCUGAGGCCAGAUUUGAGCCCAGGACCUCCUGUCUAAUGCAUUGUUGAUAGAACUGUGAACUAUUCCAGCCAUUCUGAAAAGCAUUUUGGAACUAUACUCAAAACCUAUUAUACUAUGCUUACUGUUUGACCCAGGAUACCACUUCUAAGUCUAUACUCCCAAAGAGAUCACAGAAAGAAGAAAAGGACCCAUGAGUACAAAAAUAUUUAUAGCCACUCAUUGUGGUAGCAAAGAAUUAGAAGCUAAGGGAAUGCUCAUCUUUUGGGAAAUGGCUGAACAGGUUAUGCUAUUUGAAUGCAAUGGAAUACUAUUGUUUUAUUUUUUCCUUAAUAAUGAAAGGGAUGAUGUGAGAAAAACCUGAGAAGAUUUGUAUGAAUUGAUACAGAGUAAAGGGAACAGAGCCAGGAGAAAAUGUAUUUAGCAAUAGCAAUAAUCAACUCUGAAAGCCUUACUAACUUUGAUCAAAACAACGAUCAACUGCAAUUCCAAAGGACUCAUGAUGAAAUAUGCUUUUCAUCUCCAGAGAGAGAAGUGAUGGAUUCACAGAACAUAUCAAAGUAUAUUUUCUUAUUUUUGUUCUUUUUCUUCUCAUAUUCCUCCUCUUCCUUCUUCUCUCUCAUGGUUAAUGUGGAAAUUUGUUUUGCAUGACUAUACACGUUUGUAAUGGGUUUUAUUAUUCUUGCCUUCCCAACAUGUCAAGGAUGGGAGAAAGGUUGGAAAGAAUUUAGAACUGAAGAUAACACAUUUAAAAAAAAAAUAAAAAGAAACGAGUAAUCAAUCAAAAUAAAGAAAAAUUAAGGAAAGAUGAGGAGGGGAAAAAAUAAAUAGAUUAAGGAAGGAUCUGUCCUAAGCAAAACAAAUUUGAACUAAGAAAGGUGGAUUUGAAAGGGAGGAUUAAAAGAAAAGAAAGGAUAAGAGCCUAUUAUUGACUUUGAGUUAGGAAAGAGAAGAGGAACAGAAAAGCAGAAGCAGACUGCAUCAACCUAGAGCCAGGAUGGUGAACCUAUGGCACACAGAAUGUUCUUUGUAGGCAUACACCACCACCCCCCCCAAUUUGUUACUAGAAAGGCAGAGAAAUUCAGGCAGAGCUGAUCCCCUCCCACUCUCCACCAUGCCUAACAACAUUUUUCACCCCACCCACUCCCCACAGCAGCCAAUGGGAGUGCAUAGGGGAUAAGGUGGGUGACUCACAGGCAGCAGAGCUGGAGGGGAGAGGAAGGGAGCACUUGGACCACUCCCCCUCCCCCACUUUACACUCACUGAGGACACUCCUCACUUCACCCACCGCUCCACCCAGAAGCCAAAUGGAAAUGCUUCCUCCCACCCCUAUGUGGGGUAAGGGGAAGAGGGGCAUUGUAAAUUUCAAAAGUCUCCAUCUUGGUAUAGCACCCAAAAAUUGUGCAUACCCACACUACACGGGCAUGUGCUAGUCAAUGACAAAUCAGAAAUAACUAACUGCCCACCUGGGCUGUCCUAAGCCAAGCUAGAGCCAACCAUUGGCACUUGUGAGGCACAGGAAGUGAGGUAGGGAACAGCCUCUGGAAUUCGCUCACUUCCUGUGGAGAGAGCGAGAUGCCAGUUGGUGUUAGAAGCUUGGACAGGGAGGACGCCCGCAGACAGCUUUCCUUCAGAUCGGUCACGUGAGUUAAGGACUGAUUCUUUCCACCUUGGCCUUGGGCCUAAAACUCCCUCUGCCUUGGUCAGAGGUUGAGUAGCCCCUUUCCCCUUUCUCCUCUCUCCUUCUCUCCCUCUCCUUUCCCUACUCCCAUUGUGAUUAAAACCUCCAUAAACUCCAUUCUGACUUGAGUGUUUCAUUUUAGGAAUUUCAUAAGUAAAUUCCUUGGCGGCCAUUGUUCAAUAUUACAACAAUCUUAAAAAGGUGAAAUUUUCACCAUUACAGCAUGGCAUUUGGUCUCUAAAAGGUUUGCCAUCACUGACCUAGAGCACUAGUGCUAAGCAUACUCCUCUCUCACCACCCUUUUUCCCUUUGUAGAGGGAACAAGAAACAAAGAGAAGGAAAAUAUAAGAGGAUAAGAUGUGGGGAAAUAGAUAAUUUCUUCUUUUUUCCAGCAUUGAUUUUGUUUGAGCAAAAACUUUUGAAUUUCAUAUAAUCAAAAUUGUCACUUUUAUCUUUUAGAUAAUCUCCUUAUUUGGUUAAGAAUUCCCUCCCUCAUUAACGCAUUGGUGGUGGAGUUGUGAAUUAAUCCAACCAUUCUGGAGGGCAAUUUGGAAUUAUGCCCAAAGGGAGCUAAAAGACUGUCUGCUCUUUGAUCCAGCCAUAGCACUGCUGGGUUUGUACCCCAGAGAGAUAAUAAGGAAAAAGACUUGUACAAGAAUAUUCAUAGCUGUGCUCUUUGUAGUGGCAAAAAAUGGGAAAAUGAGGGGGAUGCCCUUCAAUUGGGGAAUGGCUGAAUAAAUGGUAGUAUAUGUUGGUGAUGGAAUACUAUUGUGCUCAAGGAAUAAUAAACUGGAGUAAUUCCAUGUGAACUGGAAUGACCUCCAGGAAUUGCUGCAUAGUGAGAGGAUCAGAACCAGGAGAAUGCUUUACACAGAGGCUGAUACACUGUGGAACAAUCAAAUGUAAUGGACUUGGGGGCAGCUGGGUAGCUCAGUGGAUUGAGAGCUAGCCCUAGAGAUGGGAGAUCCUAGGUUCAAAUCUGGCCUCAGACACUUCCCAGCUGUGUGACCCUGGGCAAGUCAUUUGACCCCCAUUGCCUAGCCCUUACCACUCUUCUGCCUUGGAGCCAAUACA